This 253-nucleotide ribosomal RNA is filed under the name uncultured bacterium. Its description in RNAcentral is "partial 16S ribosomal RNA". It matches the Rfam family "Bacterial small subunit ribosomal RNA", at positions 524 to 776 of the family's 1533-position model. The record is from RNAcentral.
UACGUAGGGGGCAAGCGUUGUCCGGAUUUAUUGGGCGUAAAGAGCGUGUAGGCGGUCUGGUAGGUCCGUUGUGAAAACUCGAGGCUCAACCUCGAGACGCCGAUGGAAACCCUCAGACUAGAGUCCAGAAGAGGAGAGUGGAAUUCCUGGUGUAGCGGUGAAAUGCGCAGAUAUCAGGAGGAACACCGGUGGCGAAGGCGGUGGUCUGGGCCGGCACUGACGCUGAGGAGCGAAAGCGUGGGUAGCAAACAGG